Molecule: transfer RNA, 66 nt
Filed under: Pachycrepoideus vindemmiae
Lineage: Eukaryota; Metazoa; Arthropoda; Insecta; Hymenoptera; Pteromalidae
Description: tRNA-Tyr
Source: RNAcentral
AGUAAAAUGUCUGAAUAAAAGUAAUAAAUUGUAAAUUUAUUUAUAGGAAUAAUUUCCUUUUUACUA